CGAGUCUUUGACGCACAUUGCGCUCACCGGUAUUCCGGUGAGCAUGUCUGUCUGAGCGUCAUUACAACCCUCGGUCCACACCGGUUUUGAGCGAGCGCUGGGUCUUACCACCCGAGCUGGCUUUAAAGUUGUAAGCUCUGCUGGCUGCCCCGCCCGACUUGAACAUAGUAAACUUUGCUUGUUCGCGGUUGAGGUGGAAGCGGUACGGCCUGAACAAAACCUACCAAACUUUUAAGGUUUGACCUCAGAUCAGAUAAGGAUACCCGCUGAACUUAAGCAUAUCAAUAAGCGGAGGAAAAGAAACCAACAGGGAUUGCCUCAGUAACGGCGAGUGAAGCGGCAAGAGCUCAAAUUUGAAAUCUGGAGCCUUCGGCUUCCGAGUUGUAAUUUGAAGAGGGUGUUUCGGUUGCGGCCCUGGCCUAAGUUCCUUGGAACAGGACGUCAUGGAGGGUGAGAAUCCCGUACAUGGCUGAGGGCUUGCUUCUAUGUGAAACCCCUUCGAAGAGUCGAGUUGUUUGGGAAUGCAGCUCAAAAUGGGUGGUAAAUUUCAUCUAAAGCUAAAUAUUGGCGGGAGACCGAUAGCGCACAAGUAGAGUGAUCGAAAGAUGAAAAGCACUUUGAAAAGAGAGUUAAACAGUACGUGAAAUUGUUGAAAGGGAAGCGCUUGCAAUCAGACUCGCUUUCGGUUGAUCAACGUUCCUUUUGGUUCGUGCACUCUGCCGUUUGCGGGCCAGCAUCAGUUGGGGCGGUGGGACAAA
This 758-nucleotide ribosomal RNA is filed under the name Dactylellina haptotyla. RNAcentral's name for it is "eukaryotic LSU rRNA". The stretch from base 240 to 758 matches the Rfam family "Eukaryotic large subunit ribosomal RNA", at positions 1 to 523 of the family's 3401-position model. The record is from RNAcentral. Lineage: Eukaryota; Fungi; Ascomycota; Orbiliomycetes; Orbiliales; Orbiliaceae.